GUCUGUUGUAGCCUAGUGGCCAAGGUUAGUCUUGGAAACACGGGGUCCUGGGUUCAAGCCCAGCUAGGGACA
This 72-nucleotide transfer RNA is filed under the name Anguilla anguilla (European eel). RNAcentral's name for it is "tRNA-OTHER". The record is from RNAcentral. Lineage: Eukaryota; Metazoa; Chordata; Actinopteri; Anguilliformes; Anguillidae.